RNAcentral lists this unclassified non-coding RNA (329 nucleotides) under soil metagenome. Its description in RNAcentral is "partial contains 5.8S ribosomal RNA, internal transcribed spacer 2, and large subunit ribosomal RNA". The stretch from base 1 to 120 matches the Rfam family "5.8S ribosomal RNA", at positions 35 to 154 of the family's 154-position model. The record is from RNAcentral.
GAUGAAGAACGUAGCGAAAUGCGAUAAGUAAUGUGAAUUGCAGAAUUCAGUGAAUCAUCGAAUCUUUGAACGCACAUUGCGCCCCUUGGUAUCCCGAGGGGCAUGCCUGUUCGAGCGUCAUUUCACCACUCAAGCCUGGCUUGGUGUUGGGCGACGUCCUCUUUGGGGACGCGCCUCGAAACGCUCGGCGGCGUGGCACCGGCUUUAAGCGUAGCAGAAUCUUUCGCUUUGGAAGUCGGGGCCCCGUCUGCCGGAAGACCUGCUCGCAAGGUUGACCUCGGAUCAGGCAGGGAUACCCGCUGAACUUAAGCAUAUCAAUAAGCGGAGGA